Molecule: ribosomal RNA, 497 nt
Filed under: uncultured bacterium
Lineage: Bacteria
Description: partial 16S ribosomal RNA
Rfam family: Bacterial small subunit ribosomal RNA
Source: RNAcentral
GAUGAACGCUGGCGGCGUGCCUAAUACAUGCAAGUCGAGCGAACGGACGAGAAGCUUGCGUCUCUGAUGUUAGCGGAGGACGGGUGAGUAACACGUGGAUCACCUACCUAUAAGACUGGGAUAACUUCGGGAAACCGGAGAUAAUACCGGAUAAUAUUUUGAACCGCAUGGUUCAAUAGUGAAAGACGGUCUUGCUGUCACUUAUAGAUGGAUCCGGGCUGCAUUAGCUGGUUGGUAAGGUAACGGCUUACCAAGGCAACGAUGCAUAGCCGACCUGCGAGACGGGUCGCCCACCUUGGAACGUGACCGCGGACCUUGCUCCUGCGGUAGGGAGCAGAAGGCUAUGUUCGGCAAUGGUCGGGAACCUUGCGGAGCGGCGGCGCGUGAGAGGUGGAAGCCUUCGGAUCGGAAAACUCUGUUAUUAGGGAAGAACAGAUUUGUAAGUUACUGAGCACAGCGUGACGGUACCGAAUCAAAAAGCCACGGCUAACUACGUG